AUACUUACCUGGCAGGGGAGAUACCAUGAUGAUGAAGGUGGUUUUCCCAGGGUGAGUCUUAUCCACUGUACUCUGGAUGUGCUGACCCUGUGAUUUCCCCAAAUGUGAGAAACUCGACUGCAUAAUUUAUGGUAGUGGGGGACAAUGUUUGCGCUUUUCCCUG
Small nuclear RNA from Manis javanica (Malayan pangolin), 163 nucleotides. RefSeq annotates it as U1 spliceosomal RNA. Lineage: Eukaryota; Metazoa; Chordata; Mammalia; Pholidota; Manidae. The record is from RefSeq and is a predicted model, not a curated record.